RNAcentral lists this ribosomal RNA (496 nucleotides) under uncultured bacterium. Its description in RNAcentral is "partial 16S ribosomal RNA". It matches the Rfam family "Bacterial small subunit ribosomal RNA", at positions 30 to 523 of the family's 1533-position model. The record is from RNAcentral.
AUUGAACGCUGGCGGAAUGCUUUACACAUGCAAGUCGAACGGUAGAGGGGGCAACCCCUCGAGAGUGGCGAACGGGUGAGUAAUAUAUCGGAACGUGCCCAGUCGUGGGGGAUAACGUAGCGAAAGUUACGCUAAUACCGCAUACGAUCUAAGGAUGAAAGCGGGGGAUCGCAAGACCUCGCGCGAUUGGAGCGGCCGAUAUCAGAUUAGGUAGUUGGUGGGGUAAAGGCUCACCAAGCCAACGAUCUGUAGCUGGUCUGAGAGAACGAACAGCCAAACUGGAACUGAGACACGGUCCAGACUCCUACGGGAGGCAGCAGUGGGGAAUUUUGGACAAUGGACGAAAGUCUGAUCCAGCCAUUCCGCGUGCAGGAUGAAGGCCCUCGGGUUGUAAACUGCUUUUGUACGGAACGAAAAGGUCUCUCUUAAUACGGGGGGCUCAUGACGGUACCGUAAGAAUAAGCACCGGCUAACUACGUGCCAGCCGCCGCCGUAA